AACGAACGCUGGCGGCAGGCUUAACACAUGCAAGUCGAACGCUCCGCAAGGAGAGUGGCAGACGGGUGAGUAACGCGUGGGAAUCUACCUAGUUCUACGGAACAACACAGGGAAACUUGUGCUAAUACCGUAUACGCCCUACGGGGGAAAGAUUUAUCGGAAUUAGAUGAGCCCGCGUAAGAUUAGCUAGUUGGUGGGGU
RNAcentral lists this ribosomal RNA (200 nucleotides) under uncultured bacterium. RNAcentral describes it as "partial 16S ribosomal RNA". It matches the Rfam family "Bacterial small subunit ribosomal RNA", at positions 29 to 258 of the family's 1533-position model. The record is from RNAcentral.